Molecule: small nucleolar RNA, 102 nt
Filed under: Nannospalax galili (Upper Galilee mountains blind mole rat)
Lineage: Eukaryota; Metazoa; Chordata; Mammalia; Rodentia; Spalacidae
Description: Small nucleolar RNA SNORA28 (ENSNGAG00000008200.1)
Source: RNAcentral
AACAAAAACACUACCACAAUUUGAACUUGCUAUAGCAAGAAAUUCUAACCUAUUCUGGUGCUCUCUUCCCCAUGAGACAACCAUUAUAUAAUGCUCAAAGAA